This 326-nucleotide ribosomal RNA is filed under the name uncultured Synechococcus sp. Its description in RNAcentral is "bacterial SSU rRNA". It matches the Rfam family "Bacterial small subunit ribosomal RNA", at positions 394 to 737 of the family's 1533-position model. The record is from RNAcentral. Lineage: Bacteria; Bacillati; Cyanobacteriota; Cyanophyceae; Synechococcales; Synechococcaceae.
ACGCCGCGUGAGGGAGAGGCCUCUGGGUUGUAAACCUCUUUUCUCAAGGAAGAAGAUCUCACGGUACUUGAUGAAUAAGCCACGGCUAAUUCCGUGCCCGCCGCCGCGGUAAUACGGGAGCGGCAAGCGUUAUCCGGAAUUAUUGGGCGUAAAGCGUCCGCAGGCGGCCCUUCAAGUCUGCUGUUAAAAAGUGGAGCUUAACUCCAUCAUGGCAGUGGAAACUGUUGGGCUUGAGUGGGGUAGGGGGAGAGGGAAUUCCCGGUGUAGCGGUGAAAUGCGUAGAUAUCGGGAAGAACACCGGGGGCGAAGGCGCUCUGCUGGGCCAU